RNAcentral lists this long non-coding RNA (135 nucleotides) under Papio anubis (olive baboon). RNAcentral describes it as "lncRNA (ENSPANG00000043016.1)". Lineage: Eukaryota; Metazoa; Chordata; Mammalia; Primates; Cercopithecidae. The record is from RNAcentral.
UCAUGAGAUAGAUGUAAGUAUAUUUCUUUCCUCUCCCACAGUCCAUGUGAAGGUUCAGCAUUCUUCAGUGACAUCGGGAUUAUGUCAUAGGAAAAAGGUACUCUGAUAUAAAGUCAUGAGCCAUAAUUCAUUUUA